ACGUACACUCCUGCGGGAGGCAGCAGUGGGGAAUUUUGGACAAUGGGCGAAAGCCUGAUCCAGCCAUGCCGCGUGCAGGAUGAAGGCCUUCGGGUUGUAAACUGCUUUUGUACGGAACGAAACGGCCUUUUCUAAUAAAGAGGGCUAAUGACGGUACCGUAAGAAUAAGCACCGGCUAACUACGUGCCAGCAGCCGCGGUAAUACGUAGGGUGCAAGCGUUAAUCGGAAUUACUGGGCGUAAAGCGUGCGCAGGCGGUUAUGUAAGACAGUUGUGAAAUCCCCGGGCUCAACCUGGGAACUGCAUCUGUGACUGCAUAGCUAGAGUACGGUAGAGGGGGAUGGAAUUCCGCGUGUAGCAGUGAAAUGCGUAGAUAUGCGGAGGAACACCGAUGGCGAAGGCAAUCCCCUGGACCUGUACUGACGCUCAUGCACGAAAGCGUGGGGAGCAAACAGGAUUAGAUACCCUUGUAGUCC
This 475-nucleotide ribosomal RNA is filed under the name uncultured organism. RNAcentral's name for it is "partial 16S ribosomal RNA". It matches the Rfam family "Bacterial small subunit ribosomal RNA", at positions 329 to 796 of the family's 1533-position model. The record is from RNAcentral.